RNAcentral lists this non-coding RNA (28 nucleotides) under Cricetulus griseus (Chinese hamster). Lineage: Eukaryota; Metazoa; Chordata; Mammalia; Rodentia; Cricetidae. The record is from RNAcentral.
UUGAUUGAAGGAAGGGGAAGGAAGCUUG